RNAcentral lists this long non-coding RNA (3455 nucleotides) under Schizosaccharomyces pombe (fission yeast). Lineage: Eukaryota; Fungi; Ascomycota; Schizosaccharomycetes; Schizosaccharomycetales; Schizosaccharomycetaceae. The record is from RNAcentral.
CGGAAUAUGGUAUACAAUACGUGUUACAAGUAGUUAUGACUAUGAUGCAUAUUUUCAAUUGAACGGAACACGUUUAUUCCAAUAACCACCGAACAAUAAAAGUAUGUUAUAUUUAAAAAAACCUCUCUUUUAUAAAACAAACAUAGGCUCUUGCCCAUUAACUAAUUUUACACGUUUGUUGCUUAACUUAAUACUACCAUUACCAUAAUUUACUCCCAAAUUAAUCAUAAAUUCCCUGCGAAUACGUACCAAGAAUGCGAAUUUUCAAUACCUAAAUUGGGGUAGGUUACUUUGCACGAAACAUUAAAUGCAUUACAUUCCGAGAACAAAUUGAGUAGUUUAUGCCUUUCUAAAAAAACUACAUUAUAAAUACAGAAAAUAAAAAAAGCGGUCUCCUUUUUUAAAAGAUUUUACACCAUUAUCUGUAUGAAUAAUAUCAAAAUAUGGUGUUAACAAAUGCUUGAACAUUUUCUUCUAAAGAUGGAAUAUAUACUAAUAGUUGAUGUAUUUAGGUUGCAUCGACAUUACAAAGCCAUAGUUGAUAGCUCCGCUAUUACAAAGAUGCAAAUGUGUAAUGAUAGUUGUAUAGACUCAUCUUCAAUAUAGACAAUUUAAGAUAUGACAGCCAUUUUACGAAGAUGGUCCAUAAACUUUUGCAGGUUUACGUCGUCCGUUAAAACCGUUUCAGAAUCCUUUGACAUUGGUGAAAAUUGAGAGGACUUGUUAAAAGAAACAGAAGGAUUAAUUCUUGAUAGUAGGAAUCUCGCUUGACUACCUCCCUGAUCGCAAACAAUAAAUCGUGGAAUAGGGAAGCGAUCAGCCAGUAAUUCAGUAACUUCAAGACGCGGAGCUAAAAGAAGCUCCUUCAAAUUAACAUACUCUGGUUGCUCUUGGUAACCAGCAUUUCUCCAUUGAGCAAUAGUUGAACCAUGGAAAAUCAGUAUAUGAAAAUAGGUGUCAAGUAGCAAAAUCACAUCUGGUUUAAUGGAAACAGAAUCCAGUAAUACAGGUACCCCUUCAGGCUCGUUAAAGCUAUAGGAUUGAAGAGUGGGUUGUAUCAUAAUUAAAGAAUCAUUGACAUCCGCAACGUUCAACAUAUGACGAUAGAAAGAAGUUUCAUCGGGAGAAUUAUUAAAGAUAUGCAAAAAUGGACUUCUCCUCAAGUGAAAAAUAAACUGUGGAUAAAGUGUAAAGUUUGGAAGUAAACGGAAACUGGAAGGGUCUUCUUUUCUAUAGUCUGCAAAGUGUUGACAAAGCCUAAUCAGGUUUCUAUCAAUCCAUCUAGUUACGCUCAUUUCAUCCUCGGUUUGACAUUUGAACAAAGCCAUGCGAGCGACUAUAGCAGCAGCAGCUUCCUGAUCAAACGACUCCGAAAUACUUUUUGCAUUGCCGGUAAUAAAUGAGCGAGAUAUGGUAGUAACACGAAGUCGAUAAGUUCCCGAAGAAUGUUGGUAAUAUGUCAAAAACUGAAUGAAAGCUUGAGUAGGCCUUUGCGAAUUUGGAUUCCCCAUCUCUUUACCCAAAUCGAAAUAUAGAGCGUAUGAAGAUUUAGGUGAAAUCGCUGCCAUUUUCCAAGAAUUCGUUUUGCUUAUGCCAAUUUGAGUAUCACUAAUAUUAGUACCUUUUUUAUUUUCACCAACUCCAUUUCCAAUCAUUCCACAGAUAGUGAGGCCUUUAGACGUUAAGACUUCCAAAUUCGCCAUAAACCCCAUUUUUAGAUAACCGGAAGCAUCAACACUAAAUAAUCUUUGAAAGCUCUGCUUAAAAAUGGAAGUUGUAAAUGAGUCGGAUAGCACAAUGGCACCACCAGUAUUGUUAACAAGGUUUUCCAUUUCCAUUAUACCUACUUGAUCAAGGCAACCAGCAAAUAAAUCUAGAGCAUGCCCUUGGUUGGAGAGGCGUUCAGCUAAAGAAGAAUAGAACUUUUUAGAUUUUUUGAAAUGCUUAGCUUUGUCAUUUGCAAUUUCAGAGUGUGAUCGCAUUGGUUCCUUGAGUUCUGUUGAAACAACUUGACCCAGGCCAACCGUACAAGGACCACCACAAAAUAACUCAAUUCUCGAGCCACAUUUAGGGAAAGCAAUUCCGAGUAAAUCGGAAGCUAUCUUCACCGCAGCACCAGUACAUCGAAGUUGCCUUUGCCCAGCUGGUACUUCGAGACAAUCCGGCUGAAGUUGUUCAAGAAUGUUAAGCAAGUGCAUUUCACAUUUCUGGACAGGCAUAAGAAAGCGAGAGGCUGCACCAAGAUUGAGGGUAAUGCCUGUACCAGAAAUUUUUGCUUUAGAAGAAGAAGAGCGAAUUUGAUUACCACUUAACGCUAAUAGUUGUUGAAGCUUCAUAGUGCUGUAAUCAGCAGCGGGUUGAAAGACAUACGAUUUCGGCAUAGCUUCAAAUCCUAUUUCAUGAACCUGGAUUAAAGACCCGUAGGUAAUUAAACCAACAAUGGCAUCUGGAGGGAGCAAACUAAGACUAACUAUGACUGCAUCUUUGAGAGCAGUGAGUUCCGACUCAUCAACUGCGGUGUCCAUAACAAAUAAAAACACAGGAGGAGAUUUUACAGGCUUUGAAAGAACAUACUCCAUGGUAGUACUUUGACUGAGCAAUUCCAACGGAAGACUGUUGCUGGAAAUAUCGCUAUAUUGAGCAGGAAGAGGAUUUCGCUGAAAACAAAACGGACCUAGGUUCCAAAUAUUAGUGAUUUGAAUAUAUUUAAGGGUUAAAAAUGCUGUAAUAACUUGAACUAAAUACUCGAAAUUUAUACCACUCAUCACUUAAAAUACGAAGCUGGUAACAGACAUCAAGUAUACGCUUCAAAAUUUAGCUUGAACCAAGACUUACAUAUCCAGAAUCUAGCACGCAGAUCGACAUGACUUAUAAAAUAAUUUAGUAUAUUGUAAACCUAGGUGAAUACACACGUACCAAUAAGGAUUUAGUACAGCGCGACACGGGGCUCUGCAUGCAACUGGAUCAUACUGUUCUAUUGUCAUCCUUUCAUUUUCAUGUAAAGGAGUGUACAUAGCAGCAAUUGGAAUGACUGCUCUAGCAUUUUCAGCAGGUGUUGCUGAAAACGUAUUCCAUGAAAGUCGUAUCCCUAAACCAUAAGGUUAGCAAAGUUCUCCUCUUAUAAAAAAAAGAAAUACCAUCUUGAUCUUCUAUGUCCUCAAAAUUCAUUUUCCCCUUAAGUUAACAGGACAUUCAAACUUCGUCCAAAGAAGUAAAAAAACGUAUGCUGGUAUUAAUUAGUGGACAUGCAAAUGGGUUAAGAGGGUACACAUGCACCCAUUAACGGGCUUAACGAAUUUUAGCGUGAGAAUAAGUAAACAAAUUAACUAGAAUACUAAUUGCAUUUACGAAUGAAUGAAUAAGUAUUCGAAGUAGUAGAGAGAUAUAUUUUCUACCAGCUGAACCACUAACUUCUCAAAAUUUAAUAUAAAUCCAAUAUGCACUAGCAAAAUAAU